GCUCCGGUGUCCUAGUGGUUAGAGCGUUCGUCUCGGAUGCGGGAGGUCGUGGUUUCGAUCCCCGGUCGAGUCU
This is a non-coding RNA of Potamilus streckersoni, 73 nucleotides long. NCBI's taxonomy places the organism in Eukaryota, Metazoa, Mollusca, Bivalvia, Unionida, Unionidae. The record is from the annotation of a GenBank genome assembly.